CAGAGUCAAGUACUUGGGCCCACUCUCUGGCGAGCCCCCAAGCUACUUGACUGGUGAGUUCCCUGGUGACUACGGUUGGGACACUGCUGGGCUUUCAGCUGACCCAGAAACCUUUGCCAAGAACCGUGAACUCGAAGUCAUCCACUGCAGAUGGGCCAUGUUGGGAGCUCUUGGAUGCGUCUUCCCGGAGCUCUUGGCCCGCAACGGAGUCAAGUUCGGUGAGGCCGUGUGGUUCAAGGCGGGGGCCCAGAUCUUCAGCGAGGGCGGGCUUGACUACUUGGGGAACCCAAGCCUGAUCCACGCUCAGAGCAUCUUGGCCAUCUGGGCUUGCCAGGUGGUCUUGAUGGGAGCCGUUGAGGGUUACAGAAUUGCUGGAGGGCCGCUCGGUGAAGUGACUGACCCAUUGUACCCAGGUGGCAGCUUUGAUCCAUUGGGUUUGGCUGAUGACCCGGAGGCUUUUGCUGAGCUCAAGGUUAAGGAAAUCAAGAAUGGAAGGUUGGCUAUGUUCUCCAUGUUUGGUUUCUUCGUUCAGGCCAUUGUCACCGGCAAGGGACCGUUAGAGAACUUGGCCGACCACUUGGCUGACCCUGUCAAUAACAAUGCCUGGGCCUACGCCACCAACUUUGUCCCCGGAAAGUGAGCUUCGGUUGAUAAGAGUUUUUCUCUUUUCGGUUUCUUGGAUAUCAUGUAAAUCUGUUGUGAGCUCAUGGAAGCUUUAAUUUGAGUUGUGAUUAUUUAUAAAAUGCUUCAAUUUGAUCUUGUUCUGCUUUUUGUUCUUUUAUUUUUUUCGGUGCUUGUGAAAUCAAUGGUGAUAACGCGAAAGAGAAUCGCAAGAUUAUAUAAAAAAAAAAAAAACCGAGGAAGGUACCACUCGUGACCUUUCUUUAAAUCAGUAAGUGUCCUUAGAGGCGAUUUUGAAGGGUAACGGGCUUCAGGUGACAGAGAUUUCCGGAAAAAUAAAGAAUUUAGGGAAAGUCAUAAACAGAAAACGAUAAGUUACAAAACAGAAACAAUACAUUUGCUAAUAAACAGUGAGUUAUCCAGUACAUGUUGCUAUAUCUCACUCAUGAUUGAGAGAAGCAUGUAUGCUGUACAUAAUUUUACAUUAAUGACUCUCUUCCUUUUUUUACUAAGUACAUCAAUGAAUCUUUGUAUCUGUAUAAAAGUAUAAAUCUAGCUCCUCAGUGAAAGUAAGAAUUCCAUGAGAAUCAUAAUUUACAUAAGCUGCAACCUAGGUUUUCAUUUACCCAAAAAAUGGAAAAAAAAAAAAAAAAAUGAAGGAUGGCCUGUAAAAUAUGGCAAAGGUGUGAAGUAGAUAGAACCCACCAAUGCAGCUUCUACAUCCAAUAAAAAAAUCUGAAACCUCUGAUCAGCAUCUGAAACCAUUGCUUCACCUGCUGCAUCUAAUGAUCAAACCAACAACUGUCUGUCUGCUGGUGGGAUUUGCAUGGAAAAUCUGUAUGAGACGCUGAGGGUAAACUAUUCUACAGGGCAGCUAGCUUAAGCACGACUUGCAGCUGCCCUUGCUCUGGCCACAGAUUUUGCAUAAAGAUCCUCAUACUGUGAUGCCGAAAAUUCCCAACUCCAAUCUAUACUCAUGACCUUUUGAACAAGCUGAUGCCAACUCUCUGGGUUGUUUCUGUAGCGACUAAUUGCACGCUCCAAACCACUAUUGACUCCCUGUCAAGUUUCAACAAUUUUAGGAAAAAUUAGAAUGACAAACAACCCAGGAACAAUAUGACCAAUUGCAAUUGGACAAGAACAAACAUGGAGUUUCUAUAAAAGCAAUGCUAGAAGAAAUAUGAUACACUAGUGGCCAAAGAACCAAAAAAAAAAAAAAAUCCAAUGCCACUUUUAUAUAAACUAAUAAGCAUUCCAUUUACCUGCUCAUCAGGAUUCAAAAAAGUAUAUCCAUUUCUGAACUGGAGAGGUAUUGUGUCAUCAUCAACAUCAAAUACACUACAGAAGAAAAUUUGUGAAAGCUAAGAAUUCUCCAAUUAGUAUAGCUUAUAUACCUGAUAUCAGUCAAUCAGUGAUUUACCUGUCGUUCAGACCUCCAGUUUUCCUUGCAACAGGUAGAGGUGGGCAAAACCGGGUUCGGGUCGGGUUCGGAUCAACCCGAUCGGAUUUCGGGUUGUUCGGGUUUAACAAAAAUUAAUCCGAAUACAACCCGAACUUCCCACCCGACCCGAUCCGAUCCGAUCCGAUAUAUAUUCGGAUCGGGUCGGGUUGUGAAUUUAGGUUGAAAUCGGGUAGGAUCGGGUUGGCCAGUUUCCUUGAUUUUGUUACAACCAUUUAAAAACACAUAAUUACAACAAUUAAAUACUAAAUAUUAAUUGUUUAAUUUAACCAUAUACACCAUCAAUUCAAAUCUUAAAAAAAAAAAGCUUAAAAAAAGCGUGAAAACUCAAGAUUCAAAGUCAAAGGUGAGAAGCUCGGGUUGAAGGAUUGGAGCAGCAGAAGCACCUUGCAGCAGAUCCGCGGCACUUGUAGUAGAUCGGUGGCCGCGGCACUUGUAGCAACAGACCGACGGAUGCGUAGCAGCAGAUUGGCGGCACUUGCAGCAAAUCGGGCAUGGAGACGCGCGGCAAAUCGGCCAUGGAGAUGCGGGUGAGGCUGUGACUUGUGCGGCGCCCUCCGUUGGCAGCUUGGCGUUGGCCCAACGCCGUUGGGGGUGACUGUGUAUGUGUUUUGUGUAGUGAGAUUGGGGAUUGUGUAAUGAGAUUGGGGAUUGAGGAGGGUUGUGAGUGUUUGUGUAAAGUAACCGUGUAUUGUGAAAAUGGGAAUUGUGAUUUGUGUGUGCGGCGUGUGUGUGGCUGUUUGCUUUAGGUUUAGGUUUUUUUUUUUUUUAUAGCAACCCGAUCGGGUUUCGGAUCGGACCCGAUCCGAUCAUUACCUGAUCGGGUUUCAUUGUUUUGAUCCGAUCGGGUUUUCUUCAUAACCCGAUCCGAUCCGAAUCCGAAAUUUUCGGGUCGGGUCGGGUAAUUUGCCCACCCCUAGCAACAGGUAUAGUACCAUAUCUCAUUGCUAUCAUCUGCAGAAAAUCAUCAAAUGUUUAAGACAAAUAUAAUCAUAAUAAUAUGAACAAUUGAAUUUGUUAUUUAGAUUCACACUUGAUUCAUAUGCAUGCAAAACAGAGGCAUUUGGCUAAUAUCUAGAUUACUGCAUUAAGUCGAACCACAGAUCUUAAGCUAUGUCAUCUAUACAGAGGUAGAUUUCAACAAAAUAAGCUUUCUUUUCAAGGUUUCAAUAUUCUGUAGGAGGUAUAAGCUUUAGCCACAUCCAUCUAUUUCUUCAUUUCUUACGACUGAAUUCACUGUUCAAGAAGAAUUACCUGUGUAAGGCCACAAGGCUCAAAGAUAGAUGGGAUAAUGAAAAUGUCUGAUGCAGCAUAAAUGGAGUGGGAAAUAGACUCAUCGUACUUCAAUAUCAGCCAAAUGUGAUCCUGAUUUUGAAAAUGAUUUGCAAUGCCCUCGAAUUCUCUCUACAGAGAAAAUAAUUAUCAUUUAAAGAAGUAAAUUGAAUGAUAAAAUAAUUAUCAUUUAAAGAAAUAAUUAUCACUGAAAUCACAAGAGUCAGCACAUUGAAUGAUAAAGUUGAAAGUAAGGAAGACUUCAAUUCAGCUCAAAAUGGAAACCAGUAGCUACAAUCAGAAAGAUCAAAGCAGCCAUCAGCUGGCAGUACAACCAAGCAAUAACUACUAAAAGUUACAAAUAAUGAAUAUAUCACAUAUAUUCAAAUCUAAACAUAAGUACAGAACAGUACUAGGAUCAUCAGAUGCCAUCACGAUGCGUAAUCACCAGUAAUCAUAGCAUGAUGCACACCAACACUUUCAAACACAAAAACUAAAGGGAAAAAAUUUGAGAAAUGGGGAAAGAAUGACACUAGCACCAGACUUCAAUAUGAUGUAACCAAGGUUCACAAUUGUUGUUUACAGUAAGAUCCCCUCCUUGCCCAAACUUUAUAUAUAAAUUGCAAAUAUUGAAUAUGUGCCGAGUGGUUAAAUAAUAUUUGUAUAAUUAGAACAAGAUGCCGAGUGGUUAAAAUUAUUCUCUCACAACUGUGAGGGUAGUAGGGUAGUGGUUCGAACUCUCCUAAAAAUAUUGUGGAAAUUUAUUUUUUUUAAAAUUUGGAUAGAGAAAUUUUUCUCUCUUUUAUAUCAUAUAAAUUAUAAUUUGAGUAAUAAUAUUGUGUAAUUUUUUUUUAAAAAAAGAACAUGAUGAACAACAAUGUUAUUAAACAAUAAUGGAUGGCGUUAUCGGAUGGCAGAAGUGGCAAUGCAUUAUUAGAAGGAGAUACGAUCUCCAAACCCGUGAAUUGGGUGAUGCAUUGCCGUAAAAAUCCGGUGAGUGGUUCUGAGUGUGCCAAGUAGGCAUAGGAAUCACACUUUCAAAAUAUUACCAGCCAAUGGGGAGCGAGAUAUAGAUCUCCUAAGAUAAGGACUCUUUCCUCUAAUCCAUAUUUAUACAAAGCCCACCAAGCCCAUCCACGACACCCAACAGCUUCUCUUGCUUGCACACUUCUGCUUCUCCAUUAAAUUCCGCAAUGGCAACCUCAACAAUGGCUCUCUCCUCAUCAUUCGUCGGCAAGGCUGUGAACCUUGCCCCUUCAGGCAAGGAGCUAAGCAAUGGUGGCCGCAUCUCCAUGCGUAAAACCGGGAGCAAGUCUGUUUCUUCAGGUAGCCCGUGGUACGGCCCGGACAGAGUCAAGUACUUGGGCCCAUUCUCUGGCGAGCCCCCAAGCUACUUGACCGGUGAGUUCCCUGGCGACUACGGUUGGGACACAGCCGGGCUUUCAGCUGACCCAGAAACCUUUGCCAAGAACCGUGAACUCGAAGUCAUCCACUGCAGAUGGGCCAUGUUGGGAGCUCUUGGAUGCGUCUUCCCGGAGCUCUUGGCCCGCAACGGAGUCAAGUUCGGUGAGGCCGUGUGGUUCAAGGCGGGAG
RNAcentral lists this long non-coding RNA (4945 nucleotides) under Citrus maxima (pomelo). RNAcentral's name for it is "long non-coding RNA (CMAX_LNC001117)". Lineage: Eukaryota; Viridiplantae; Streptophyta; Magnoliopsida; Sapindales; Rutaceae. The record is from RNAcentral.